RNAcentral lists this ribosomal RNA (490 nucleotides) under uncultured bacterium. RNAcentral's name for it is "partial 16S ribosomal RNA". It matches the Rfam family "Bacterial small subunit ribosomal RNA", at positions 30 to 507 of the family's 1533-position model. The record is from RNAcentral.
AUUGAACGCUGGCGGCAGGCCUAACACAUGCAAGUCGAACGGUAACAGGAAGCAGCUUGCUGCUUCGCUGACGAGUGGCGGACGGGUGAGUAAUGUCUGGGAAACUGCCUGAUGGAGGGGGAUAACUACUGGAAACGGUAGCUAAUACCGCAUAACGUCGCAAGACCAAAGAGGGGGACCUUAGGGCCUCUUGCCAUCGGAUGUGCCCAGAUGGGAUUAGCUAGUAGGUGGGGUAACGGCUCACCUAGGCGACGAUCCCUAGCUGGUCUGAGAGGAUGACCAGCCACACUGGAACUGAGACACGGUCCAGACUCCUACGGGAGGCAGCAGUGGGGAAUAUUGCACAAUGAGCGCAAGCCUGAUGCAGCCAUGCCGCGUGUAUGAAGAAGGCCUUCGGGUUGUAAAGUACUUUCAGCGGGGAGGAAGGGAGUAAAGUUAAUACCUUUGCUCAUUGACGUUACCCGCAGAAGAAGCGCCGGCUAACUCCGUG